GCAGCCUUGUGUCUGCCAUUACAGGGAGAUCUCUGCCCCUUGGGGCUGAGAGACCCCAACCUACCCCAACUGAAGCUGCAAAACCUUGAGGUACCAGCCAGAUGUUUUCCCACAAAGGAUCUGUUGGGGCACAGGGCAAUGGGACUCCUGCCAGUAACUGGGAAAAUGACACAGUGGAACUGGCUGAACUGGGACCUCUACUAGAAGAGAAGGGCAAGCGAGCAAUCGCCAACCCAACCAAAACCAAAGACGAGCAAACAUGCCCUAUGCCUCAGGAAGAAGAGGAGGAGGUGCGCGUGCUGACACUCCCCCUGCGGGCCCACCAUGCCAUGGAGAAGAUGGAAGAGUUUGUGUAGAAGGUCUGGGAGGGACGCUGGAGGGUCAUCCCAUACGAUGUGCUCCCUGACUGGCUAAAGGACAGUGACUACCUAUUACAUGGCCAGAGACCACCCAUGCCCUCCUUCCGGGCUUGCUUCAAGAGCAUCUUCUGUAUCCACACAGAAACUGGAAACAUCUGGACCCAUCUACUUGGUUUUGUGCUCUUUCUCUUUUUGGGAAUCCUGACCAUGCUCCGACCAAGUAUGUACUCCGUGGCCCCACUGCAGGAGAAGGUGGUUUUGGGGACGUUCUUUCUGGGUGCAGUGCUCUGCCUUAGCUUCCCCUGGCUCUUUCACACUGUCUAUUGCCAUUCAGAGAAAGUCUCUCGGACUUUUUCCAAACUGGACUAUUCAGGGAUUGCUCUACUGAUUAUGGGGAGCUUUGUCACUUGGAUCUAUUAUUCCUUCUACUGCUCCCUACAGCCUCGGCUCAUCUACCUCUCCAUCGUCUGUGUCCUGGGCAUUUCUGCCAUCACUGUAGCAGAGUGGGACUGGUUUGCCACUCCUAAGCACCGGCAGACAAGAGCAGAAGUGUUCCUGGGACUUGGUUUGAGUAGUGUUGUGCCCACCAUGCACUUUACUAUUGCUGAGGGCUUUGAUAGGCCACCACUGUGGGCCAGAUGGGCUGGUUCUUCCUCAUGGCUGUGAUGUACAUCACCGGCACUGGCCUUUAUGCUGCUCAUGUUCCUGAGCACUUCUUUCCUGGAAAAUUCGACAUACGGUGCCAGUCUCAUCAGAUUUUCCACUCUUGGUGGUAACAGCAGGCUUCGUCCACUUCUAUGGGGUCUCCAACCUGCAGGAAUUCCAUUACAGCCUGGAAGGUGGCUGUACUGACAACUCCCUGCUCUGA
Octodon degus (degu) is the source of this 1227-nucleotide RNA transcript. It is a transcript of the gene named adiponectin receptor protein 1 pseudogene, with no coding region annotated. Lineage: Eukaryota; Metazoa; Chordata; Mammalia; Rodentia; Octodontidae. The record is from RefSeq and is a predicted model, not a curated record. The transcript has a single exon.